This is a non-coding RNA of Ailuropoda melanoleuca (giant panda), 46 nucleotides long. NCBI's taxonomy places the organism in Eukaryota, Metazoa, Chordata, Mammalia, Carnivora, Ursidae. The record is from Rfam.
CCAAAGGCUCUUUUAAGAGCCACCCACACUUUACAAAAGACUGUAG